This 3008-nucleotide ribosomal RNA is filed under the name Salmonella enterica. RNAcentral describes it as "23S ribosomal RNA". It matches the Rfam family "Bacterial large subunit ribosomal RNA". Lineage: Bacteria; Pseudomonadati; Pseudomonadota; Gammaproteobacteria; Enterobacterales; Enterobacteriaceae. The record is from RNAcentral.
GGUUAAGCGACUAAGCGUACACGGUGGAUGCCCUGGCAGUCAGAGGCGAUGAAGGGCGUGCUAAUCUGCGAUAAGCGCCGGUAAGGUGAUAUGAACCGUUAUAACCGGCGAUACCCGAAUGGGGAAACCCAGUGUGAUUCGUCACACUAUCAUUAACUGAAUCCAUAGGUUAAUGAGGCGAACCGGGGGAACUGAAACAUCUAAGUACCCCGAGGAAAAGAAAUCAACCGAGAUUCCCCCAGUAGCGGCGAGCGAACGGGGAGGAGCCCAGAGCCUGAAUCAGCAUGUGUGUUAGUGGAAGCGUCUGGAAAGGCGCGCGAUACAGGGUGACAGCCCCGUACACAAAAGCGCAUGUGCUGUGAGCUCGAUGAGUAGGGCGGGACACGUGGUAUCCUGUCUGAAUAUGGGGGGACCAUCCUCCAAGGCUAAAUACUCCUGACUGACCGAUAGUGAACCAGUACCGUGAGGGAAAGGCGAAAAGAACCCCGGCGAGGGGAGUGAAAAAGAACCUGAAACCGUGUACGUACAAGCAGUGGGAGCCCCACCACCAAAGCAUUCUCUGGUGUUGAAGGCCCUGCAAAGCAGCAUCGCGGUGGCGGAGCGUCGUUUGCGACGCCCAACACACAAAACAAGCGGUGAGUGCUUUGGGGUGGGGUGACUGCGUACCUUUUGUAUAAUGGGUCAGCGACUUAUAUUCUGUAGCAAGGUUAACCGUAUAGGGGAGCCGGAGGGAAACCGAGUCUUAAUUGGGCGUUAAGUUGCAGGGUAUAGACCCGAAACCCGGUGAUCUAGCCAUGGGCAGGUUGAAGGUUGGGUAACACUAACUGGAGGACCGAACCGACUAAUGUUGAAAAAUUAGCGGAUGACCUGUGGCUGGGGGUGAAAGGCCAAUCAAACCGGGAGAUAGCUGGUUCUCCCCGAAAGCUAUUUAGGUAGCGCCUCGUGAAUUCAUCUCCGGGGGUAGAGCACUGUUUCGGCUAGGGGGUCAUCCCGACUUACCAACCCGAUGCAAACUGCGAAUACCGGAGAAUGUUAUCACGGGAGACACACGGCGGGUGCUAACGUCCGUCGUGAAGAGGGAAACAACCCAGACCGCCAGCUAAGGUCCCAAAGUCAUGGUUAAGUGGGAAACGAUGUGGGAAGGCCCAGACAGCCAGGAUGUUGGCUUAGAAGCAGCCAUCAUUUAAAGAAAGCGUAAUAGCUCACUGGUCGAGUCGGCCUGCGCGGAAGAUGUAACGGGGCUAAACCAUGCACCGAAGCUGCGGCAGCGACACUCAGGUGUUGUUGGGUAGGGGAGCGUUCUGUAAGCCUGCGAAGGUGGCCUGUGAGGGUUGCUGGAGGUAUCAGAAGUGCGAAUGCUGACAUAAGUAACGAUAAAGCGGGUGAAAAGCCCGCUCGCCGGAAGACCAAGGGUUCCUGUCCAACGUUAAUCGGGGCAGGGUGAGUCGACCCCUAAGGCGAGGCCGAAAGGCGUAGUCGAUGGGAAACGGGUUAAUAUUCCCGUACUUGGUGUUACUGCGAAGGGGGGACGGAGAAGGCUAUGUUGGCCGGGCGACGGUUGUCCCGGUUUAAGCGUGUAGGUGUGUGUUCCAGGUAAAUCCGGUUCACUUUAACACUGAGGCGUGACGACGAGGCACUACGGUGCUGAAGCAACAAAUGCCCUGCUUCCAGGAAAAGCCUCUAAGCAUCAGGUAACAUCAAAUCGUACCCCAAACCGACACAGGUGGUCAGGUAGAGAAUACCAAGGCGCUUGAGAGAACUCGGGUGAAGGAACUAGGCAAAAUGGUGCCGUAACUUCGGGAGAAGGCACGCUGACACGUAGGUGAAGUGAUUUACUCAUGGAGCUGAAGUCAGUCGAAGAUACCAGCUGGCUGCAACUGUUUAUUAAAAACACAGCACUGUGCAAACACGAAAGUGGACGUAUACGGUGUGACGCCUGCCCGGUGCCGGAAGGUUAAUUGAUGGGGUCAGCGCAAGCGAAGCUCCUGAUCGAAGCCCCGGUAAACGGCGGCCGUAACUAUAACGGUCCUAAGGUAGCGAAAUUCCUUGUCGGGUAAGUUCCGACCUGCACGAAUGGCGUAAUGAUGGCCAGGCUGUCUCCACCCGAGACUCAGUGAAAUUGAACUCGCUGUGAAGAUGCAGUGUACCCGCGGCAAGACGGAAAGACCCCGUGAACCUUUACUAUAGCUUGACACUGAACAUUGAGCCUUGAUGUGUAGGAUAGGUGGGAGGCUUUGAAGUGUGGACGCCAGUCUGCAUGGAGCCGACCUUGAAAUACCACCCUUUAAUGUUUGAUGUUCUAACGUGGACCCGUGAUCCGGGUUGCGGACAGUGUCUGGUGGGUAGUUUGACUGGGGCGGUCUCCUCCUAAAGAGUAACGGAGGAGCACGAAGGUUGGCUAAUCCUGGUCGGACAUCAGGAGGUUAGUGCAAUGGCAUAAGCCAGCUUGACUGCGAGCGUGACGGCGCGAGCAGGUGCGAAAGCAGGUCAUAGUGAUCCGGUGGUUCUGAAUGGAAGGGCCAUCGCUCAACGGAUAAAAGGUACUCCGGGGAUAACAGGCUGAUACCGCCCAAGAGUUCAUAUCGACGGCGGUGUUUGGCACCUCGAUGUCGGCUCAUCACAUCCUGGGGCUGAAGUAGGUCCCAAGGGUAUGGCUGUUCGCCAUUUAAAGUGGUACGCGAGCUGGGUUUAGAACGUCGUGAGACAGUUCGGUCCCUAUCUGCCGUGGGCGCUGGAGAACUGAGGGGGGCUGCUCCUAGUACGAGAGGACCGGAGUGGACGCAUCACUGGUGUUCGGGUUGUCAUGCCAAUGGCACUGCCCGGUAGCUAAAUGCGGAAGAGAUAAGUGCUGAAAGCAUCUAAGCACGAAACUUGCCCCGAGAUGAGUUCUCCCUGAGACUUAGAGUCUCCUGAAGGAACGUUGAAGACGACGACGUUGAUAGGCCGGGUGUGUAAGCGCAGCGAUGCGUUGAGCUAACCGGUACUAAUGAACCGUGAGGCUUAACCUU